Molecule: long non-coding RNA, 648 nt
Filed under: Danio rerio (zebrafish)
Lineage: Eukaryota; Metazoa; Chordata; Actinopteri; Cypriniformes; Danionidae
Description: si:dkey-44g23.11 (ENSDARG00000103121.2)
Source: RNAcentral
AUCAAACUCAAUUGACAGGACGCAUACGCGAACGCAUGACCGUCGUAAAAAUCGCCUUAGAAAGCAGCACAUGGUGCUGCACAACGUCCUUGUGGGAAUAUAAGGGGUGUGACAAGCAUGUGCUCGCAAUAUAAUAACGCCAAAAGAUCAAUUAUUAAUCCCUAUCUACAGAAAUGAGUACCGACAGAAAUCGCGACACAAUCUUCAAACAAGCCGACACUCCACGCGCUCUCGUUCACGCGCACGCGCUACUGUUGCAAGGUCACACGGCGCUGCAAAAACAUGCGACUCUGGCAAAGGGGUAAAAACAGCACGUCCUGAUUUAUGAAUGAGGCCACCUUGUUGUCUGUGGAUACUUUUAAAUGUCCACUGCGUAUAAACGAAACAAGGACGAUGGGGCAGUUAAAUCAUGUUUAAGUUUCCCCUUAGUGACCAAACUCACGUGAGGAGAUCAAUCAGGCAGAGACUCCACACAAGUUCCACAGCAGGUGAUGAUGAGCCCAGUCCAGGAGCACGUCCAACACCUGCAUCCAGUGUUGUUUCCAUGUGGAAGAGAAGCGUGGCGUCCCGUCGCCAAAACGGCUGAGACUCCACGGACGAUGGGUCAGUGCGGUCACCACAUUCGGAUCCGCCUGCCGCAUCUGAAGA